CUGAUUUGCAGGGUGUAAAAUGUGGUAUUUAUGGUGCCAAUUCUGCAGAAUGGAUUAUGAGCAUGCAGGCUUGCAAUGCUCAUGGACUUUAUUGUGUUCCUUUAUAUGAUACCUUGGGUGCUGGGGCUAUAGUGUUUAUUAUAUGCCAUUCAGAGGUCUCAAUUGCAUUUGCAGAAGAGAAGAAGAUACCUGAG
Long non-coding RNA from Glycine soja, 194 nucleotides. RefSeq lists it as uncharacterized. The record is from RefSeq and is a predicted model, not a curated record. NCBI's taxonomy places the organism in Eukaryota, Viridiplantae, Streptophyta, Magnoliopsida, Fabales, Fabaceae. The transcript has 3 exons.